This 525-nucleotide ribosomal RNA is filed under the name uncultured bacterium. RNAcentral's name for it is "bacterial SSU rRNA". It matches the Rfam family "Bacterial small subunit ribosomal RNA", at positions 355 to 896 of the family's 1533-position model. The record is from RNAcentral.
UGGGGAAUAUUGGACAAUGGGCGCAAGCCUGAUCCAGCCAUGCCGCGUGAGUGAUGAAGGCCCUAGGGUUGUAAAGCUCUUUUGUGCGGGAAGAUAAUGACGGUACCGCAAGAAGAAGCCCCGACUAACUUCGUGCCAGCAGCCGCGGUAAUACGAGGGGGGCAAGCGUUGUUCGGAUUUAUUGGGCGUAAAGGGUGCGUAGGCGGUUUGGCAAGUCUUGUGUGAAAUCUUCGGGCUCAACCCGAAGCCUGCAUAAGAAACUGCCGGGCUUGAGUAUGGGAGAGGUGAGUGGAAUUUCCGGUGUAGCGGUGAAAUGCGUAGAUAUCGGAGGGAACACCUGUGGCGAAAGCGGCUCACUGGACCAUAACUGACGCUGAGGCACGAAAGCUAGGGGAGCAAACAGGAUUAGAUACCCUGGUAGUCCUAGCCCUAAACGAUGAUUGUUUGAUGUGGCAGGUACCCAAUCCUGCCGUGUCGAAGCUAACGCGAUAAACAAUCCGCCUGGGGAGUACGGUCGCAAGGCUG